GGAUGUAGAGGUGAGCUGGCUGUGAUAUCUGUCACCCCAUUGAUCAUCAGAGUUGAUUCAGAUGAUCUGGCUGGCUAGGCGGGUGUCCCCUUCCUCCCUCACCGCUCUAUGUGAAUCUCUCCUGAAGCUGCUCUCUUGGUCUAAGAGGAUGGCCUUCCACAAAUAGAGAUGGACCAGUCUUCGGUCGAGGGUAUAUGAGUAGCUGUGCCCCCCUGCUAGAACUUCCAAACAAGCACCCAGGUCCUUGUGUAUUGUAGCAUGUAUACUCACCCAGGUGUAUACCAGGUGUAUACCUCUCU
Molecule: unclassified non-coding RNA, 299 nt
Organism: Erinaceus europaeus (western European hedgehog)
Lineage: Eukaryota; Metazoa; Chordata; Mammalia; Eulipotyphla; Erinaceidae
Gene: 7SK
Rfam family: 7SK RNA
About the family: 7SK was discovered as an abundant small nuclear RNA in the mid-70s but a possible function has only recently been suggested. Two independent studies have found that 7SK RNA binds the CDK9/cyclin T complex (known as elongation factor P-TEFb).
Source: Ensembl